CGGAAUGAAUUCUUAGAUCCACGUCUCACCCGUGGAUGGCACGGCCGCCCCACGCGCAGAACCAAACCAGACACGCGUACGGCCAAUCGGCCGAAAAUUCCCCAAUCCAGGCCUGUUAGCCCCAACCCUAACCCUAGCCAAUCGCAUUCCCAUGGACGACGACGCCGGCGACGCCUCGCCGCCGCCGGGACCUGUCCCCCCUGCUGCCACAGGCGCCUCGUCGUCGCGUGACAUGGCUGCGUCCCCUACCAGCUCGCGCUCCGUGACGGAGACGGUGAACGGCUCCCACCGCUUCGUGAUCCAGGGCUACUCCCUCGCCAAGGGGAUGGGCGUCGGGAAGCACAUCGCGAGCGAGACCUUCACCGUCGGGGGAUACCAGUGGGCUAUCUACUUCUACCCAGACGGGAAGAACCCCGAGGACAACUCGGCCUACGUUUCCGUCUUCAUCGCGCUCGCUUCCGAGGGCACUGACGUCCGCGCUCUCUUUGAGCUCACACUGCAGGACCAGAGCGGCAAGGGCAAGCACAAGGUCCACUCCCACUUCGAUCGCUCGCUCGAGUCUGGCCCCUACACCCUCAAGUACCGAGGCUCUAUGUGGGGUUACAAACGGUUCUUUCGGCGAACUGCCCUUGAGACAUCGGACUUUCUUAAAGAUGAUUGUUUGAGGAUAAACUGCACUGUGGGUGUUGUGGUUUCAACUAUUGAUUACUCCAGACCACACUCCAUUCAGGUUCCAGACUCUGAUAUUGGCUACCACUUCGGUUCUCUUUUGGACAGUAAUGAAGGGGUUGAUGUUAUUCUUAAUGUGAGUGGAGAGAGGUUUCAUGCCCAUAAGUUGGUGUUGGCUGCACGGUCUACUGUAUUUAGAUCCAAACUUUUUGGCGAUGAAUCAGAAGGAGACAAGAACGAGGUUAAUGAGAGUGAGGAUCUGAAAGAGAUUGUUAUUGAUGAUCUAGAGCCCAAGGUUUUCAAGGCCAUGCUUCAUUUCAUCUACAGAGAUACCCUCGUUGAUGAUUAUGAGUUGGAUGCAUCAAGCUCCAUGGGCUCUAUUUUUGAUACUUUGGCGGCAAAGUUGUUGGCCGCAGCAGACAAGUAUGACUUAGGAAGGUUAAGAUUUCUAUGUGAAUCUUACUUGUGCAAAGGCAUUUCUGUGGCCUCGGUUGCAAAUACUCUUGCAUUGGCUGAUAGUCACCACGCCAUGGAGCUUAAAGCCGUUUGCCUAAAAUUUGCUGCAGAAAAUCUUUCAGCUGUGAUCCGGACUGACGGGUUUGAUUACCUCAAGGAUAAUUGCCCAUCACUUCAGUCGGAGAUACUGAGAACUGUUGCUGGGUGCGAGGAGCCGUGCAGUAGUGGCGGGAAAAGCCAGAGUGUAUGGGGACAGCUCUCGGACGGUGGCGACACUAGUGGCCGUAGGGUGAGGCCAAGAAUCUGAGGCCACCCCGAACUCUGCCCUGGUUAGGAGGCUCUUGUGUAAACGGGGCAACAAUUUGUUCUGUAUGUUGUGAAAACAGUUUAACUAGGUGAGACCCAUGCCAUCUUAUUGCGCUCUUUUUUACACUUCAAUUCAUAUUCAUAUGUUGUUAAUAGCUAUUUCAUUGUUUGAUCUUGGAACCUUUGCCUAGUCGCUGUGCUGAUUUAUAAUGAUAUGGGCGCGGCCUCGGACGCUCUGAUGUUUUGCCCCAAUCUUUUACGAUGCAAAACUCUCCAAUGCACCGAUAAAAUAAUACUCUAAUUACGUGCAACCUGAAGCAGGGGUGACGACGACAAACGGACAAUCCCUCCGGCUUCUCUUCGAAGUAGAUGUAACCAGCAUGCAGCCUGUCGGGAGCCAAGUGCAACUUUCACUGCAGAAAAUUCACGCAAAAUAAAUAACAAGAGGGCUGCUUAAUAUUCGAUACUUGUUUAACCUGUUGAAAAUAUAACCUUCCCUCGUAAUACUCACGUAUACUGCAUAUAUAAAGGCAAAAUACAAACCGCCAUCAAAAAGAGGACGGCGAGGCAUGCAGGCCCACCUCACGUACAUCUGGAAGAUAUCUGAAAGACGAACGUGUGUUGGGCUCGUGAUUCGUGAAUGACAGGUAUGGUUUCCUUCUGUGACGUCUUAGACGUGGUGGGGUGUUAGAUAUGAAGUUCGAUGGCGUGUUCGGGGUAUUACCCCGGUAUGAUUCGUUCAACGACAAAGUCUUUACUUUUGGUGAGUCACUUUGGUGAGGAGGUGAUUCGUCAUUCUUUUUUUCGGGGGCUGCUGUAGUAAUGCCGGAGGCAGAUGACGAACGUUGAUGUCAAGCUCAGAGAUGUGCUACUAUAUUUUCAGUUUUGUCAUGUCAGACUUUACGUGACUUGUAUUUCGAUCUUUAUAAAAUGAAUGGGACAUAUAUUAUC
This 2382-nucleotide ribosomal RNA is filed under the name Triticum aestivum (bread wheat). RNAcentral describes it as "partial small subunit ribosomal RNA". Lineage: Eukaryota; Viridiplantae; Streptophyta; Magnoliopsida; Poales; Poaceae. The record is from RNAcentral.